RNAcentral lists this ribosomal RNA (467 nucleotides) under uncultured bacterium. RNAcentral's name for it is "partial 16S ribosomal RNA". It matches the Rfam family "Bacterial small subunit ribosomal RNA", at positions 28 to 507 of the family's 1533-position model. The record is from RNAcentral.
GACGAACGCUGGCGGCGUGCUUAACACAUGCAAGUCGAACGGAAAGGCCUGCUUUUGUGGGGUGCUCGAGUGGCGAACGGGUGAGUAACACGUGAGUAACCUGCCCUUGACUUUGGGAUAACUUCAGGAAACUGGGGCUAAUACCGGAUAGGAGCUCCUGCUGCAUGGGGGGGGUUGGAAAGUUUCGGCGGUUGGGGAUGGACUCGCGGCUUAUCAGCUUGUUGGUGGGGUAGUGGCUUACCAAGGCUUUGACGGGUAGCCGGCCUGAGAGGGUGACCGGCCACAUUGGGACUGAGAUACGGCCCAGACUCCUACGGGAGGCAGCAGUGGGGAAUAUUGCACAAUGGGCGGAAGCCUGAUGCAGCAACGCCGCGUGCGGGAUGACGGCCUUCGGGUUGUAAACCGCUUUCGCCUGUGACGAAGCGUGAGUGACGGUAAUGGGUAAAGAAGCACCGGCUAACUACGUG